CUGCAACCUUAAAGAGGAUCAUAUGCUGUUUAUGUCAGCUCUACACCCCAGUGCUCCAAAAGCUAGAAUCUGCAUGUCUCAGGAUAGACAGUGGAAUAAGAUGGCUUCGCCUGAGGUUCCAACGUGUCUGCAGAAUGAUUUCCAUCAGAUUGCACGAUGUGGAUGGUCUGCUGAGAACGCUCACUUCAGACCAGAUGUUCAUCCGUCUUUAUUUUUUACAUCCACAAGAAGAGGAAAACAUUGCUCUUUCAGAGAGACCUCACACAUCAAGACACUGCAAAUUUCAUACCAGGAGGUCUAGGAAGAAUGAGAGCAGAACAUCACGUUACUACAUCAUGUUUCCCUUUCCCUGAACAUGAAAUGGACAAGCCCAAAGGAAAAAGUAAUUUCCAAUCAGAUGAAGUGUUCUAAAAGUUUUGGCCAAGUCCUCUCCCAUUGUCAAAUUUAAAGACUUAUUUCCUAGUAUAGUAUAACAGACCAGGCUCUACCCAAGUGCAGUAAGAAACAGUAUGUCUGCUUCUAACUUCCCAGGGGACAUAGUGUGCAGGUGUCCAUGCUCUCCUAUAAAGCAUUUCUGUGGGAGCUUUCCAAGCAAAACGCUGGUAUGACCUUCCAUGAUAGUUGUAUUUUACCUGAAAAAAAAUCAAAUUUUGCUCAUGUAAAUAUUCUGCUUUUAUUAACUUUUAGCAUUCAGUUUUUCUGAAAAGUUGUCCAUCUGUUAAGCAGUUAGUGAUCACGUCUGUGUUAAAGCAUUGGCUGAUAAGAGAAAAAAAUUCAAAUAAAACUCUCCAUCAAAAACUUUUGUGAUAAGCCAAUUGUUUUGAAAUGCUAAGUUUUCUCUGUUGUUUUUUUUAAAGUUAGGCAUAUUUAAGGUAAAAAUAAUGUACCAAUUUUUAGUAAGGAUAAUGUACAAAUUUGACUUUCCCUCUGAGCGUAGAUGUUCUUUAAUAAACAUUCUAAUGUUCUUUAAUUAAGUCACUUAUUCAACAAACAUAUACAAGCAGCUAGUGUGUGUUGGGCUAGGCGUUGAGUUAGGUAAAGGGAUGAUAAUAAGCUAGCACUUAGCACUUAUGCCAGGUACUGAUUUUUUCUAAGUGAUUUGCCUAUAUAAACCAUUUAAUUCUCACAACUCUAUGAGGUGGGUAUUGAAUUUGCCCAUUUUACAGAUGAAGAAACUUAAUCAGAGAGUCACGGUGCCAGGAAGUGCAAGCCAACCAAGCAGUGUGUGUGGUUUGAGUCUGGACUCUCAACCUCAAUGCCACACUGUCACACAAGACAAAUAAGACUAGCUCUUGGUUCUCCUGGACCUUAACGACCACAUCACCCAGAAAGAAAAGAAGAAAAAAGAGAAGGAAGGAAGGAAGGGAAACAAGUCACCAACUUAUGACAAUGUGAAUACUGUGAACAAAGAGUGUGAACAAAGUAUUCUGAGAGCACAGAAGAGAUGGUAAUUAAUUUUUCCUAGGGGAGGAUUAUUCAAGGCUUCCUAAAAACUGGGCCCUAGCAGGGGGGCGUGGUGGCUCACACCUGUAAUCCCAGUGCUUUGGGAGGCUGAGGUGGGAGGAUCACUUGAGCCUAGGAGUUUGAGACUUGCCUGAGCAACAUAGCAAGACUCCAUCUCUACAAAACGUUUUUUAAAAAUGUCAAAAACUACUCAGGCAUGGUGGCACAGGCCUGUGGUACCAGCUACUCUGUAGGCUGAGGUGGGAGGAUCACUUGAGCCCAGGAGUUUGAGGCUGCAGUGAGCUAUGAUUGUGCCACCGCAUUCCAGCCGGGGUAACAGAGCAAGGCCCUGUCUCUUAAACAAAACAAAAACAGACCUGGGCCCUGGAAAAAGGGAUGGCAGUUUGCCAAGCAGACAGGAAGAAAAUUCCAGACAGAAGAAAUGGUAUCAACCAGGCAUGGAGGCAUCCUGAAAGUCAAGUCAAGUUCUGGGAAUAGCAAAUACUUCAAGUGUUGUUAGAGUGGAGGAUGCAUGGACCAUGUCUGAGGUUGAGGCUGGCUCUCGCUUGUAAAUGGCUUUUGAACCUUGAGACUUUCACAAUGAAAUUCAAUGAAAAAUCAAUUUCUGGAUUUGGAGCCUAAGAGCCUCACCAUGUGAGUGGAUACCUCCAACAUCCCCCCACCCCUUGAGUCCAUUAGGUAAAACCAGUCAUGGUUUGGGGAAGGAAAUUAUGACUUUUCCUGAAUUUUAAAAAAUUUAAAAAGCUCUGUUUGCUUUUUUUUCUUAAGCUUAGAAAGAAGCCUCCAUAUGACCAUGUUAUUAGGAAGUCCUGAAAUUUCAAGCAGUGGAGAAACAUGUAUUUCCCACUUCUUUGGAAUCUAUUAUAUGGGCCUCUGCCAUGAAAGGAAAUACUCUUCGGGGCUUCUUCCCCAGCUCACAUUUGCCUCAUCUGCUGACUGUGAAAGAUUCCUCUGGCACAGAGACAGUGAGGUGGGCAUGUGGGACAAGGGCAUGGCCCCAAAGCCAGAGGUGCCCUGUCAUGGGUGUGAGGGACAUAAAGUGAGUUUUGUAUACAUGUAUGACUAUGUAUUGUAUUAGAGACGUUCCUAUCCUUUGAGUAACUUUUUGGAAAGACUAUAAAGGCUUUAACUUAAAAAUCGAAUCCGAGCGAGUUUUACUGGCACAAGCCAAAAGUACCCAAGUCUGCUUUAGACCUAGAACUACCCUGACUCCUAGCACGUGAUGCUCCUUGAAUCACAACUGAAUACUCUCAAAGUGGGUCUCUGACUGAGGGAAUUUUCUAUAAUUGGUUUUCGGAUUGAUGUUAGUAAUCUUUAGACAGUUGAAGAAUUUGAUUAUAAAAGUUAGCAUAGCUUCAAUGGGAAUAAGAACAAUGCUUCCUCCAGGACUUUUCAAGAUCAAAUUGGGAUGUGGGGUGGGGGAGAAAAUAAAAUCUGUAACAGAAAUAUAGAUGAAAGAAUGCUCUUCUGGUGGUGAUGACCCCAAGGCCUCUAGCCUUCCCAUCCCUAACCCUAAUCUGACUCACUCCUUGAUCAGCCUUUCUCUUUCCCCAGUGAUGGGAAAUGUUAUACUGGCUUAUUGGCUAAAAUUAUACAGGAUCCUCAUCUGGAUUAGGGUCAAAGAUGGCAGCAGUAGAAAAGCAUCCCCCAGAAAUAUGCAGGUUCAGGUCCAGACCACUGCAAUAAAGUGAGUAUUGCAAUAAAGCAAGUCACAUUAAUUUUUUAGUUUCCAAAUGCAUAAAAAGUUAUGUUUUUCCUACAAUGUAACCUAUUAAGUGUGCAACAUUGUGUCUACAGAGACAAUGUAUAUACCUUAAUUUAAAAUACUUCAUUGCUAGAAAAUGCUAACGAUCAUCUGAGCCUUCCGCAAGUUGUAAUUAUUUUUCUGGCGGAGGGUCUUGCCUUGAUGUUGAUGGUUGCUGACUGAUCAGGGUGGUGGUUGCUGAUGGUUGGGAAGGCUGUGGCAAUGUCUUAAAGUAAGAUCACAAUGAAAUGUGUCACAUUGAUUGACUCUCUUUCACAAAGAUUUCUCUGUAGCAUACAAUGCUUUGUUUGAUAGCAUUUUAUCUGCAAUAGAAUUCUUUCACAAUUGGAGACGAUUCUCACAAAACCUGCCGCUGCUCUACCAACUAUGUUUAUGGAAUAUUCUAAAUCCUCUGUUGUCAUUUCAACAAUGUUCAUGGCAUCUUCACUAGGAGUAGAUUCCAUCUCAAAAAAAAAAACAAAACUCUUUGUUCAUUCAGAAGAAGCAAUUUCUCAGCCACUUAACGUUUUAUCAUGAGAUUGCAGCAAUUCCAUGGCAUCUUCAGGCUUCACUUCUUAUCCUAGUUCUCUUGUUCUUUCUACCACAUCUGCAGUGACCCCUCCACUCAAGUCUUGAACCCCUCAAAGUCAUUCAUGGGUCUUGGAAUCAACGUCUUCCAAAAUACUGUUGAUGUUGAUAUUUUGAUCUCCUCCUAUGAAUCGGAAAUGUUCUUAAUGGCAUCUAGAAUGGUGAAUUCUUCCCAGAAGAUUCCUUCCCAGAUUUAUCAGAGGACUCACCAUCUAUGGCAGCUAUGGCCUUACAAAAUGUAUGUCUUAAACAAUAAGACUUGAAAUUCAAAAUGACUCCUUAAUCCAUGGGCUGCAGAAUGGAUAUUGUAUCAGCAGGCAUGAAAACGUUAGUCUCCUUGUACAUCUCCACCAGGCCUCUUGGGUGACCAGGUGCAUUGUCAAUGAGCAGUAAUAUUUUUAGUGGAAUCUUGUAUUUUGAGCAGUAGACCUUAACAGUGGACUUAAAUUAUUCAGUAAACCAUGCUAUAAACAAAUGUGCUAACAUCCAGGCUUGGUUGUUCCACUUACAGAGCACAGGCAGAGUAGAUUUAGCAUAAUUCUUAAGAGCUGUCAGAUUUUCAGAAUGGUAAACAAGAAUUGACUUUAAGUCACCAACUACAUUAGCUUCUAACAGGAGAGUCAGCAUAUCUUUUGAAGCUUUGAAGCCAGGCAGUGAUUUCUCCUCUCUAGCUAUUAAUAGUCCUAGAUGGCAUUUUUUUUUUUUUUUUAAGUAGGGACAGGGUUUCACCAUGUUAGCCAGGCUGGUCUCAAACUCCUGACCUCAAAUGAUCUGCCUCAGCUUCCCAUAGUGCUGAGAUUACAGGCGUGAGCCACCAUGCCCAGUCAGAUGGCAUCUUCUUCCAACAGAGGACUGUUUCAUCUACAUGGAAAAUCUAUGGUUGAGUGUAGCCACCUUCAUCAACGAUUUGAACUAGGUCUUCUAGAUAACUUGCUGCAGCUCCUACAUCAGUCCUUGCUGCUUCAUCUUGCACUGUUAUGUUAUAGAAAUGGCUUUUUCCCUUAAACCUCAUGAAACACCCUCUGCUAGCUUCCAAUUUUUCUUCUGCAGCUUCCUCACCUCUCUCAGCCUUUGUAGAAUUAAGGAGAAUUAAGGCCUUGCUCUGGAUUAGGCUUAGGCUUAAGAGAAUGCUGUGACUGGUUUGAUCUUCUACCCAGACCACUGAAACUUUCUCUAUAUCAACAAUAAUACUGCUUUGCUUUCCUAUCAUUGUAUGUUCACUGAGUAGCACUUUUAGUUUCCUUCAAGAACUUUUUCUUUGCAUUUACAACUUGGCUAAAUGUUUGGCACAAGAGGCCUGGUUUUCAGCCUAUCUCAGCUUUCAACUUGCCUUCCUCACAAGGCUUAAUCAUUUCUAGCUUUUCACUUAAAAUGAGAGAUAUGUGACUCUUCUUCCAUUUGAACACUUACAUGCCAUUGUAGGGUUAUGAAUUGGCCUAAUUUCAAUAUUGUUCUGUAUCAGGGAAUAGAGAGGCCUGAAGACAGGGAGAGAGACAGGGAAUGGCUUGUUGGUGAAGCAGUCAGAACACACACAAUGUUUAUCAAUUAAGUUCACUGUCUUCUGUGAGCAUGGUUUCAGGCACUCCAAAACAAUUACAACAGUAAUAUCAAAGAUAACUGAUCACAGAUCACCAUAACAGGCAUAGUAGUAUUGAAAACAUUUGAAAUAUUGUGAGAAUUAUCAAAAUGUAAUGCAGAGACACAAAGUAAACAUGUGCUGUUGAAAAAAUGAUACCAAUAGACUGGUUUGAGGCAAUGGUUGCCAUAAAACUUCAAUUUGUUAAAAAAAAAAAAAAAAGCAAUACCUGUAAAGUGCAAUAAAGCAAAGUGCAACCAAACAAGGCGUGCCUGUAUUUUGAAAUUCAAUUAAACUUUUUUUUUUUUUAAAGAAAGGAAUAUGCAUAUAUUCACUUCUGGAAAAUUUCAUUGAAAUGUAUUAUUUAUCACUUACUAUUAUAUGUAGUCCUUGUUGCUUAAUUUUAAAACAUCUCUGCUCCUUCUCCAAUCCCACCCCCACCUGUAGGCAGGUUUUAGGAUAAUACUCACAUGUCUGUAAAGCACUCUGAGAUCCUUGGCUAGAAGGUUCUGUAUCAAAGCAAAGAAUAUUUUGUUUUAUUGAUUGUUCACUAACACAUGAAGCAAUUUUCUGGAAAUG
RNAcentral lists this long non-coding RNA (5951 nucleotides) under Homo sapiens (human). RNAcentral's name for it is "HSALNT0079464". The record is from RNAcentral. Lineage: Eukaryota; Metazoa; Chordata; Mammalia; Primates; Hominidae.